AUGGGAAUAGAAACUGUCGAUGAAGUUGUUGGUUGCAGUGCAAAGAUGGAGUUUCUCUUCUGGCCACAUUUGAUAGUGGUAACUAAGGAGUAACCAGGUUUAGCCGCGGCUAUGGUUCCAUCAGUGCUUAUCAAAGUGGGACAGGAAAAUCUGUAAACUUGGUCGAACGAGUCUCAAGCUCCGUGAAAAUGAUGCUACCAAGCAGAUUCCCACUAAACCUGGGACAACACAAAAAAGACAAGUCUUGAGCUCCGUGAAAAUGAUGCUACCAAGCAGAUUCCCACUACACCUGGAACAAUACAAAAAAGAAAACACUCGAACUGUACUAGAAAGCAAAAAGCAAGAACUGCUCCAAAAUCGCAGGGCAUGGCUUCUGGGACGGGAAGAGGCGAAGCGUCUGUUGGAAGUAGAACGAGAGAAGGCAGCCAAACUGGAACAGGAAAAAGGGGGGAUAUUGGUUGACCAGUAUAUUGGAUUGAAACGGAAGAGUUAUGGGCAGAAAUAGGAACCUAGAAAGCUACUGUAGUCACAAAAUUGGAGAGUGACCCAGCCAGUAUUGGUCGGUCACGGAUGUCUGCCCCACCAGUUUCAACAAUCGGUGAAUUGGAGGUGAAGGUGAGGCAACAGCAGCACCAAUUGGGAGCAACCAGGUUGUCAGGAUUCUGCAAUUGGAGGCCCAAGUUCGUGAA
Molecule: long non-coding RNA, 689 nt
Filed under: Physcomitrium patens
Lineage: Eukaryota; Viridiplantae; Streptophyta; Bryopsida; Funariales; Funariaceae
Description: long non-coding RNA (PPAT_LNC009960)
Source: RNAcentral